This 253-nucleotide ribosomal RNA is filed under the name uncultured bacterium. Its description in RNAcentral is "partial 16S ribosomal RNA". It matches the Rfam family "Bacterial small subunit ribosomal RNA", at positions 524 to 776 of the family's 1533-position model. The record is from RNAcentral.
UACGAAGGGGGCUAGCGUUGCUCGGAAUCACUGGGCGUAAAGCGCACGUAGGCUGAUCGUUAAGUCAGGGGUGAAAUCCUGGAGCUCAACUCCAGAACUGCCUUUGAUACUGGCGACCUUGAGUUCGGGAGAGGUGAGUGGAACUGCGAGUGUAGAGGUGAAAUUCGUAGAUAUUCGCAAGAACACCAGUGGCGAAGGCGGCUCACUGGCCCGAUACUGACGCUGAGGUGCGAAAGCGUGGGGAGCAAACAGG